GGGCAGAUGGGAGAGUGGUUUAAUCCAGUCGCCUGGAACGCGGCCGCAGGUAACACUGCCGGGGGUUCGAAUCCCCCUCUGCCCGCCA
This 88-nucleotide transfer RNA is filed under the name Sulfurospirillum sp. RNAcentral describes it as "tRNA-Ser". It matches the Rfam family "tRNA". Rfam says of the family: Transfer RNA (tRNA) molecules are approximately 80 nucleotides in length. Their secondary structure includes four short double-helical elements and three loops (D, anti-codon, and T loops). The record is from RNAcentral. Lineage: Bacteria; Pseudomonadati; Campylobacterota; Epsilonproteobacteria; Campylobacterales; Sulfurospirillaceae.